RNAcentral lists this long non-coding RNA (209 nucleotides) under Malus domestica (apple). Its description in RNAcentral is "long non-coding RNA (MDOM_LNC004660)". Lineage: Eukaryota; Viridiplantae; Streptophyta; Magnoliopsida; Rosales; Rosaceae. The record is from RNAcentral.
GGGGAGCUGCCUUUGGGCAGCUCGCAGAGACGCAAGGGGGAUAGCGGGGAGAAGAAAAGAGCUGCUUGAGCAGCGUCAAAGAAAAGAAAAAAAUAUAAAAAAAAAAGAAAGGAAGGAGCAGCGGAAAAGACGUGAGGCAAGCAAGGGAGAUAGGCAGAGAGAAGGGGAGAGGCGCAGGAAGAGUGGGGAGAGAAGAGACUGGCAGCGUG